GGUCUGAGGAAAAGUUAUGGAAAUCAAGAUCACACAAGGGCCUCAUUGCCUGGUGAAUGUAAUGCCAUGGCUGCCUACAUGAACGUUGAGGCUGGCUAGCAUCAUGGUGCGAGUGGACUGACCGAUGAAAUCUCCAAAGUGAAGAGGCAGGUUACAUUAUACAUGCCUCCUCAUAUGAAAGCUGUGGGUAUGCCCCAGGAGAAGCAAACCACGAUGCUGAUGAGAAAAGCGCCCUCACCUCCUUCAACCUGGAGAGAAGGAAGGUGGAGGCCAAGAUCCUAUGGGACUUCACAGAGAUGAUUCAUGAGAAUGUCAA
Acanthaster planci (crown-of-thorns starfish) is the source of this 316-nucleotide long non-coding RNA. Lineage: Eukaryota; Metazoa; Echinodermata; Asteroidea; Valvatida; Acanthasteridae. The record is from RefSeq and is a predicted model, not a curated record.